Molecule: ribosomal RNA, 119 nt
Organism: Callithrix jacchus (white-tufted-ear marmoset)
Lineage: Eukaryota; Metazoa; Chordata; Mammalia; Primates; Cebidae
Source: Ensembl
GUCUUCGGCCAUACCACCCUGAACGUGCCCGAUCUGGUCUGAUCUCGGAAGCUAAGCAGGGUCGGGCCUGGUUAAUACUUGGAUGGGAGACCGCCGCGGAAUACCGGGUGCUGUGGGCU